AGGGUUUGAUUCUGGCUCAGGAUGAACGCUGGCGGCGUGCUUAACACAUGCAAGUCGAACGGAACGCCAAGGAAAGAGUUUUCGGACAAUGGAAUUGGCUGUUUAGUGGCGGACGGGUGAGUAACGCGUGAGUAACCUGCCUUGGAGUGGGGAAUAACACAGUGAAAACUGUGCUAAUACCGCAUGACAUAUUGGUGUCGCAUGGCACUGAUAUCAAAGAUUUAUCGCUCUGAGAUGGACUCGCGUCUGAUUAGAUAGUUGGCGGGGUAACGGCCCACCAAGUCGACGAUCAGUAGCCGGACUGAGAGGUUGGCCGGCCACAUUGGGACUGAGACACGGCCCAG
Molecule: ribosomal RNA, 344 nt
Filed under: uncultured bacterium
Lineage: Bacteria
Description: bacterial SSU rRNA
Rfam family: Bacterial small subunit ribosomal RNA
Source: RNAcentral